GACGAACGCUGGCGGCGUGCUUAACACAUGCAAGUCGAACGGAAAGGCCCUGCUUUUGUGGGGUGCUCGAGUGGCGAACGGGUGAGUAACACGUGAGUAACCUGCCCUUGACUUUGGGAUAACUUCAGGAAACUGGGGCUAAUACCGGAUAGGAGCUCCUGCUGCAUGGUGGGGGUUGGAAAGUUUCGGCGGUUGGGGAUGGACUCGCGGCUUAUCAGCUUGUUGGUGGGGUAGUGGCUUACCAAGGCUUUGAAGGGUAGCCGGCCUGAGAGGGUGACCGGCCACAAUGGGACUGAGAUACGGCCCAGACUCCUACGGGAGGCAGCAGUGGGAAAUAUUGCACAAUGAGCGGAAGCCUGAUGCAGCAACGCCGCGUGCGGGAUGACGGCCUUCGGGGUGUAAACCGCUUUCGCCUGUGACGAAGCGUGAGUGACGGUAAUGGGUAAAGAAGCACCGGCUAACUACGUG
Molecule: ribosomal RNA, 468 nt
Filed under: uncultured bacterium
Lineage: Bacteria
Description: partial 16S ribosomal RNA
Rfam family: Bacterial small subunit ribosomal RNA
Source: RNAcentral